GCGGUCGUUUGACUGCUAGGCAAUGUGGUGUUCAGGUUUUCUCUUGGCAUAACUGCUCCAUCCUAAGUCCAGCACUGAGUAUGGCAUCUGGAAUGGCCCAUGGAGGGUGAAAGGCCCGUGGGGGUGGAGAUCAAGUCGGCCAGUUUUGCCCUGAGUAAACCUUGGAGUCGGGUUGUUUGUGAAUGCAGCCCAAAGUGGGUGGUAAACUCCAUCCAAGGCUAAAUACUAGCACGAGUCCGAUAGCGAACAAGUACCGUGAGGGAAAGUUGAAAAGUACUUUGAAGAGAGAGUAAACAGUGCGUGAAACCGCUCAGAGGUAAACGGGUGGAGUUGAACUGUAAGCUCCGGGGAUUCAGCUGGUGAGUGUGUCAUGAGCUUGGUCAUUUUCGGCCGGCCUCUAGAGUCCGCUUAGCUGCGGGUCCUUGCUUCUUCGGGAGUGAGGGUGCGCGUCGCACUUGUCAAGUGCUGUGCGCUCUGGGGGUUGCCGGGCUGGCUCGCCGGUGCACUUUCUCGGAGUGGUCACCACGACCGGCGUUGUUGUCUUGCUGCUGUAGUCGAACCGGUCAGGUUUGGUCCUUGUGGCUGAAUUUGAUCGGGAUGGCAGGUAGCUCAUUGGUUGGCUUGUCCAGUCUUUGGGUGUAAUCAGCUGGCUGCAGUAGUAGUGUGCAAUACGUCGGAGACGGCGGCUCGAGGUAUUUGCUUAUGUGCUGUUGGCUGGCGGUGUCGGGUUUGAUUGGCGUGUUUACCUGCUUCGGCAGGUCCGCUGGUAGCUCGGUGCCGUUCGGUUGGCGGUUGCAUUUGUGAUACCGCUCAUGGGCCCAUAGUCUGUGGUGUAGCAGCAAAC
Molecule: ribosomal RNA, 844 nt
Filed under: Diplostomum gavium
Lineage: Eukaryota; Metazoa; Platyhelminthes; Trematoda; Diplostomida; Diplostomidae
Description: partial large subunit ribosomal RNA
Rfam family: Eukaryotic large subunit ribosomal RNA
Source: RNAcentral